This 422-nucleotide ribosomal RNA is filed under the name uncultured bacterium. RNAcentral describes it as "partial 16S ribosomal RNA". It matches the Rfam family "Bacterial small subunit ribosomal RNA", at positions 360 to 774 of the family's 1533-position model. The record is from RNAcentral.
AAUAUUUGACAAUGGGGGCAACCCUGAUCCAGCCAUGCCGCGUGUGUGAAGAAGGUCUUCGGCUUGUAAAGCACUUUAUGUUGGGAGGAUGGGGUUUAGGCUAUUACCCUGAAGUUUUGACGUUUCAAACAGACUAAGCACCGGCUAACUCUGUGCGAGCAGCCGCGGUAAUACAGAGGGUGCAAGCGUUAAUCGGAAUUACUGGGCGUAACGCGCGCGUAGGUGUUUCAGUAAGAUGGGUGUGAAAUCCCCGGGCUUAACCUGGGAACUGCUUUCAUAACUGCUGAGCUAGAGUACGGUAGAGGGUAGUGGAAUUUCCUGUGUAGCGGUGAAAUGCGUAGAUAUAGGAAGGAACACCAGUGGCGAAGGCGACUACCUGGACUGAUACUGACACUGAGGUGCGAAAGCGUGGGGAGCAAACA